Molecule: ribosomal RNA, 206 nt
Filed under: uncultured bacterium
Lineage: Bacteria
Description: partial 16S ribosomal RNA
Rfam family: Bacterial small subunit ribosomal RNA
Source: RNAcentral
AGCGUAGGCGGACUUUUAAGUGAGAUGUGAAAUACCUGGGCUCAACUUGGGUGCUGCAUUUCAAACUGGAAGUCUAGAGUGCAGGAGAGGAGAAUGGAAUUCCUAGUGUAGCGGUGAAAUGCGUAGAGAUUAGGAAGAACACCAGUGGCGAAGGCGAUUCUCUGGACUGUAACUGACGCUGAGGCUGAAAGCGUGGGGAGCAAACA